UUUUGGGAAACCCCACGUGCUCCCCGUGUGCACGGACAUGAACUUCACGUGCGGUGGGGGGAAGCAGCGCUCUGAGGGGCCUGCCCCCCCCCACCGGCCUCCAUACGCAUCAUCGUAUGCUUCUCAUGUGAGCUGAUUACGCAUCCCCCCCCCCCCCCUCAUACUGACUGACUGACUGCACUCUUGUGUUCGCUGUGGAGAUUUUAAAAAUUGCAGUGUUGCCUCUGGGUUUAGUUUGUUUUUCUCUUGAUGAGGCCGAGUCGAUGUACAGUGUGUGGUGACAGUGUUGAUGAUGUAAUUGGCAAAAAAAAAAAAUCCUGGGCUUUAUUAAUCUUAAAAUGAACACUUAGACUUUUGCAACAUUUUCAACGGUGAGCAUUUUAUGCAAGAAAACAAAUCUCGCUGUAACAUUCCAUGUCAUCUUUUGCCAGCCAUCUGAGAAGGGAUGUACUUGUCUGUAUAAAAUAAAUGGGACAAUUCUAUGAUCAGCUCUGUGCUCCCAGUGUGCUCUGUUACAACGCGUGGCGAAGGGGGGGGACAUGGGACACCUUGUUACGUGGAUGUCCGAUGGAGUCCACAAAAGACCCGGUGGGCACUUGAUCCUCUGCAGAGCCGCGCUGGAUGGGCCAACAUGUACCAGGAUGCAUUGGGGCGAUCUCACAACGUCUGACAAGGAAACAAAAUGAACUUGAAGGAAAUAUUCUUACACUGUUACCUAAAUACAACUGUAGACCUUUUUAGAAUCUUAGAAUUAUUAAACUCACAGCUCUGAAACAAAACACACAUUUUGCUCAGAUAAAUCCAUAAUUCCCAGUAAGAUGAGAGCGAACGCGGCUCGUUGGAGGCUAAAUUAGACAAAGUAACAAAUCGCCUGGGCCUCCGCUGUGAUCUCGAGUAAGGUCUCUAACGACACCGCUGUCCAAGUGAGGAGCGAAACGUCCAUGCAGACGGCGUCCCACAAAACGCCCCCCCCCCCCCCUUCUGAGCAUCCAUGCAGCGGCUCCAGCAGAAAACAAAUGUUUCUCCAACUGCUGUGGCCGGUCGGUGAUGUAAGUUUAAAUUGCAAUUUUGCUGACGAAGCCGACAAUGGGCCGGUGGGAAUCGCCGCCUACUUGUCCACGUGCCGCUCUGCGUGUGUCGCCCCGGUCUGACAGCAGGACACUUCCCCUUGUGGAGUGUGCAGCCUGCCAAGUGUGGAGUGUGCAGCCUGCCAAGUGUGGAGUGUGCAGCCUGCCAAGUCUGAAUUGGCAGGUUUGCAACUCGUGUGACGAAUAAAUGUUCUGCGUGAAAGAAACACUCAUGAAAACAAAUGGAUUCAUAUAUUGUCCUGUUGUGUCAAGGCCUUUAAUAAACCCAGCGAAGACUUCAUUCUUUCUAAGUGUUUGCUGCAUUUUGAUCAUUUACAAUGUGGUUACCAUAUAAAGUCCCGAGUUAUUUAAUGAACCGCUAAUAUAUAAUUACCACAUAUUCUGAAAAGUGUUUAUUUUGGUUUGGUUCGGUUCCAUCGUUGGGUUCGACUGGUUUGAACAUCGACGGUCAGGCGGGUUUUGUCCAGUAAGUUAUGCGGGGGGAGGAAGAGGAGGGGGGAGAGCGGGGGACCAGGUCUGCUCGGGCGGGGUUUCCCUUCUUAUUUGCAGGCUGCACAGAACGAGGUGCGGCGCGGAGGAGGACGGACCGGCUCGGCUCGGCUCGGCUCGGCUCCAUCACCCGGCUCGUGCCCACGCACUGGCUGAGGUAGUAGUUUGUGCUGUUGGGUCGUGACGCCGCCCGCUAUGGAGAUGACUGCGCAAGCUACUGCCUUGCCGGUGCUGGUGCCUCCGCUUCGGGACUAAAGCGAGGACACGCGGCCGCGCUCCCGACGCGGUUGUCCGGUUCGAGCAGGUAACGCGCGCCGCCGUCAGACGAGUGAAAUCGCUCCUGUGUCACUUGUUUGAUCCAAUAAAAUAAAUGAUUGUGGAGGGAAAAAAAACCUUUUUGUGUCCAGUUUUGAUUUAAUUAACAAUGACAUGUUUGAUUUGAAUUAGUACCAUAUUGCAUUUUUUUCCAUUUUUCACAGAAUGUGCCGUUAGUUGAAAAGCUUGCAUGUAUUUGCGGGAUAUCCGACACUCCCGUUUGUGUCAUUUGCAUGCACAUCUUCUAAAACGCACGAGGAAGUCGACAUCUCCGGUUUUCCCACCAGCUUGUGGGCGGAAACGUGCAGGUCAACGAGGAGACGAGGGACGCGGCUCCGAUCCAGCGGAGCGGAUCGCGCUUCCUCCUCCUGCACCCGGACGCAUUUAAAUAAUAAUUCCAUUAUUAUGCUAAAUGUGCUUGUUGCGUAUGUUAGGGGCUGCCACAUGACCCCCCCAGGCCUUUUAGCAGUGGUGUCCGAGAGCCCUGAUGUGGGUCACAUGGGACCUCCUCCCAUCAGCAUCUGGUUGCUCUGUAUCAAAUGGCUAGGGGUCAUGAUGGUGAUGGGCGGGGUCAGCUGGAAUGAUGGACAGAUGACUGGCGCCUUCGUUUGACCUCCUGAGAACACGGCCAUAAAUGAAUGAGUUCUGAAUCUGCCCACAAGCAUCUGUGCUGAUAUAAAACCAUUUAAAACAAGAGUUUGACUUCUGUGAUAACCGGAGGUCGAAAGCAGUGUUUUGCUUUAGCAGAAGCGCUAAAGUACUACGCACACGUGAUACUACUGCUUAUUGUAGCACUACAGGUCUUCCUACUGUAUAAAUAAGAGUAAAAAAUGAAGAAAAUCAAGUAACCCCCCCCCCAAAUAAUUUAUUAUAGCAAGUGUAAAGCGAGCCGGUUUACGAGCCAGUGAGCAGCUCACCAGCAGACCUUGUCCUCAUCCAUCUUGUGCCGGCCUGCACAUAAAUCACGCUUUAGGGCCCAAACACUAAAGCGGUUCAUUUGACUCCUCCCUGUGGAACGUGCCUGCUCAGAUGGUUCUCACAGCUGAAGCAGCCUCAUCCUGACUGGACUGUCGACUGGAUCAUUGUAGUGUUUGGGAUUUUAACUUUUAGAAGCUGUAUUUUUCAUCUCCCAGUUUAUGACGUUGUUGGUCUCACCAAUAGAAAUGCGUAUUGAAAC
Molecule: long non-coding RNA, 3069 nt
Organism: Gasterosteus aculeatus aculeatus (three-spined stickleback)
Lineage: Eukaryota; Metazoa; Chordata; Actinopteri; Perciformes; Gasterosteidae
Source: Ensembl